CCUACGGGAGGCAGCAGUGGGGAAUAUUGCACAAUGGGGGAAACCUGAUGCAGCCAUGCCGCGUGUGUGAAGAAGGCCUUCGGGUUGUAAAGCACUUUCAGCGAGGAGGAAAGGGAGCAGUUUAAUACGACUG
RNAcentral lists this ribosomal RNA (133 nucleotides) under uncultured Shewanella sp. RNAcentral describes it as "partial 16S ribosomal RNA". It matches the Rfam family "Bacterial small subunit ribosomal RNA", at positions 338 to 475 of the family's 1533-position model. The record is from RNAcentral. Lineage: Bacteria; Pseudomonadati; Pseudomonadota; Gammaproteobacteria; Alteromonadales; Shewanellaceae.